RNAcentral lists this ribosomal RNA (529 nucleotides) under Ceratobasidium sp. AG-Ba. Its description in RNAcentral is "SSU rRNA". It matches the Rfam family "Bacterial small subunit ribosomal RNA", at positions 349 to 962 of the family's 1533-position model. The record is from RNAcentral. Lineage: Eukaryota; Fungi; Basidiomycota; Agaricomycetes; Cantharellales; Ceratobasidiaceae.
CAGCAGUCAAGAAUAUUAGUCAUUGCUCGCAAGAGUGAACAAGCCAACUGGAAUCACAAGAACUUGUGAUAAAGUAAGGGAGGAUAAUGACGUUACCUUACUAUUAGUGUCGUCUAAAAUUGGUGCCAGAAGACUCGGUAAUACCAAAUACACAAACGUUAGUCAUCAUAAAUAGGCGUAAAGGGUUUGUAGGCUGCUCUUACCGGAGCUAGAAUCAAAUAGGGGUUAAUAUCAUACCUAGUGAAAGGAUUAAAUCUGUAAAUAUUAGGGGGAAUACUAGAAGCGAAGGCGAUUUUCUAUUUAAUGAUUGACGCUGAGACACGAAGGUUGGGGCAGGAAAUAGGAUUAGAUACCCUAGUACUCCCAACUGUAAACGAUGAAUGGUAGGUAUUAAUUAUGUGAAAGUUAGUACCAAUGUGAACACGUUAACCAUUCCGCCUUGUGAGUAUACUUGCAAAAGUGAAAACAAAAAAAUUAGUCGGCCCCGAAGCAAACGAAGUGAAGCAUGUUAUUUAAUUCGAUAAUCCGC